Molecule: long non-coding RNA, 587 nt
Organism: Benincasa hispida (wax gourd)
Lineage: Eukaryota; Viridiplantae; Streptophyta; Magnoliopsida; Cucurbitales; Cucurbitaceae
Source: RefSeq, a predicted model, not a curated record
AAGCAAUUAGGUUCCUGUUCCUGUAAUCUCUCCUUCACCACCUUAUUUAGUUAUACAGCCUCUUUGUGGACCCCCUUCGGUCUCACGGUUGUUUUCUUCCCCUCCACUAUAAUGAUCUUCAUUCACGAUCUUUGAUGUACUGCUUCCCAUCUGGCUUCACUCUCCAGCAAACCCCUCCAUUUCACUAGCCAUUUUUCUCCAAUAAUAGUUUCAGGACAGUUAAAGCUGCGUUUCUCACCAUCACUUGUUGUUCCACCAAGUCAUUAGUUGUUUUCUUCUCUCCAUAAGAUAGCAAAGGAGCGGGUCUUCUUCCAAAAACGUUCAACCCAGGGGAUCCACCUGCUCCAUUUUGAGGGUGCUCAUUACAAAAGCAUCGUAGAUAAGUUUCUAUACAUCUGUUAACUUUUUCUGUCUGCCCAUCAAUCUGAAGGUGAAACGAGGUACUUCUCUUUAGGAUGGUGCCCAUCACGGAGAAUAAUUCCUUCAAAAAAUGGCUAGGGAAUGUUUUGUCCCUAUUAGUAAUUAUUGACUUAGGUACUUCGUGGUGCCAUAUUACCUUAUGUAUGAAUAUUCAAGCUACCUAUUUG